GAUGAACGCUGGCGGCGUGCUUAACACAUGCAAGUCGAACGAAGCAUUUAAGACGGAUUCUUUCGGGAUGAAGACUUUUAUGACUGAGUGGCGGACGGGUGAGUAACGCGUGGGUAACCUGCCUCACACAGGGGGAUAGCAGUUGGAAACGGCUGAUAAUACCGCAUAAGCGCACAGUACCGCAUGGUACAGUGUGAAAAACUCCGGUGGUGUGAGAUGGACCCGCGUCUGAUUAGCUUGUUGGCAGGGUAACGGCCUACCAAGGCAACGAUGCGUAGCCGGCCUGAGAGGGUGAUCGGCCACAUUGGGACUGAGACACGGGCCCAAACUCCUACGGGANACAGCAGUUAGGAAUAUUCGUCAAUGGGGGAAA
Molecule: ribosomal RNA, 373 nt
Filed under: uncultured bacterium
Lineage: Bacteria
Description: bacterial SSU rRNA
Rfam family: Bacterial small subunit ribosomal RNA
Source: RNAcentral